AUUUUAAUUUUUCCAUUAUAGUUGAUUUACAGUGUUCUGUCAAUUUUCUACUGUACAGCAAAGUGACCCAUUCUCUCUCUCUCACACACACACACACACAUAUAUAUUCUUCUUCUCACAUUAUCCUCCUUCAUGCUCUAUCGCAAGUGACUAGAUAUAGUUCCCAGUGCUAUACAGCAGGAUCUCAUUGCUUAUCCAUUCUAAAUGCAAUACUUUACAUCUGUUAAUUCUAUAUUCCCAGUCCAUCCCACUUCCUCCCCUUCCUCCUUAGCAACCACAAGUCUGUUCUCCAAGUCCAUGAGCCAAAACAGCAAUUUCUAAAAGACACACUGGCAUACAAGUUUUCAAUUUGGUAUUUAUUGUUGGUUUAUUUAACUAGCCCAGGUAGUAUCCAUAAAGCUCCUGGUACACAACACACAGUAAUCUCUCUGUUAACGUAGUGAGUGAAUUGUGGCAAAAGCCAAAUGCUAAAGGAUGCCAGAGUCAUAGCAUUUGUUCUCUGUAUUACAUCUUCCGAGAUCCAUAACCAAGGGAAACAUAAAACAGGCCAUCAAAACAAACAAAAUGAACACUUCACAAAUGAAAUGUCACAAUUACACUGCCACUGUAUUAAAAUAGAAGUUUAUGAAUAUACAACUCUUACGAUGAGAAGCAUCAUGUCUAUAUAUGUGACUCCAGAAGAAUUUUAAGGUAUAUGCUAUAAUACCAUUGAUAUAUUUUUACACGAUCCCUUGCAUUAUCUAGUUAAGAAAUAGUACUUUGAGGUCUGAACUAAAAGUUCCUUGCUAACUCCAAAUAAUGAAUCCUAGGAGCUAGAGAUUACUGAGAUUAACGCUGGUAUAGCAACCAGAGUACCUGGGUUCUAGCGUGAGAUCUAUCAUCUACUAGGUUUUUGGCUUUGCGCAAAGUACAAAAUCCUCUGGUAUCUCAGUUAGUGCUUCCACCAAACAAAAUGAUACCUGAAUUCCUUACUCAGGGUGGUUACUGUGAAAAUUAAAUUAAUAAAACUGUAAGCAAUUGGAAGCUGGCAAACCCUAUUUAAAACAGGAAGUAGGCAGAGGAGUUCCCAAUGUGGCUUAGCAGGUUAAGAACCUAACAUGGUAUCCAUGAGGAUGCAGGUUUGAUCCCUGGCCUCUCUCAGUAGGUUAAGGAUCUGGUAUUUGCCACAAGCUGCGGUGUAGCUCACAGAUACGGCUCAGAUCUUGUGUUGCUGUGACUGUGGUGUAGACCAGCAGCUGCAGCUCCAAUUCAACCUUUAGCCUGAGAACUGCUAUAUGCUGCAAGUUUGUCAUUAAAACUAAAAAAAGAAAUAAAAAACAACAACAAAAAAAAAAAACCUAGGAAGUAGUGAAAUAUUUGGUUCUUCAAAUAAGAGAAAUAGAUACACAGACAGGAGAAAACAGUUGAGAUGCACAAUUUCACUGAUCAUUAAAAAUACUCAUGGGACAGCCUCUGCAGGAUACAGGAGCAUUUUUUUUAGUCUGUCCAUCUGUGUCUUCAUUCAACACAUAUAUAUUGAGUGCCUACUGAGAACCAAGCAGUAUUUUGGCCAUGGGAUUGUAGCAAUGAAUACAAUGAAUAUGCUCCUUUAUGCCAAGAAGCUAACAUUCUAAUGGGAGAAAAGGACCAAAAAACAAGUAGCUCAAUAUCAAGUGCUAUGAAAUCAUCAUGCAUAAUCAUGACAGGGAAAGUCAUGGGCAAACGCACAUUCUGGAUGGGUGGAAAAGUGCUCUCUGAGAUGGUAACGUUGGAGAGGCAGGAAGUGAAUGGUAAGAAGAAAACUUUAGGUGUGUUGCUGUUCCUUCAUCUCAGUUCCCUGGCUAUUGAAGGCUGAACACACGACUAAGCGAUCCAGUGAAAUAUCCUGUCCUAGGAAUUUGGAAUCAGGUUUCCAAAACUGUUAUGUUUUAAAGUGUGCAAACCAGGCAGUGAUAUAAAUAUGGCUUGGGCAGCUUAUUUCUGCUGGGCAACCCAAGACCAUGGAUCAACCAAAGAAUGAAGGAGAUGAGCACAGAGAAGGAGAGAGGAGAGACUACCCGGUCCAAGGGAGAUGGACCGACCUCAGUUUUGCAUGGCUUUCCAUGGUUCCAAUCCUUUUGGAGGUACCACUGUGUUUUAAGCCCAUGGGAUCCAUGAGGUCCAUCUAGAUCCUUCAGAUAAAUUCCCCUCUUUUUGGCUUGAAGUGUUACCAAAGAAUUUAUCUUUCUAAAAGAUGGUUACUACAACUGGGUUACAUUGCUAUCCUAGCUCCAUCUGGAAACGCAUUAGGAAGCCAUUUAUCAAAUUCAUCCUAAACACUGUCAGCUAAGAGAAAGCAUGAUAUGGUGGGAGGCGCAUGGGAUAGAGAUGUGAGGAUAGCCAGCCAAAGGGACAGCUCAGAAUGUCCCCAAAAAUCAGAUUAGGCAGACUCUUGCAUCAUGGCCGUCCAAAUGGAGAACUGCUGGGCUCUAUCACCUGGUUUCCUAAAAUAAGCCUACCUCUGAAAAGCCUGUCAGGACAAGGGGGCCAGUUUGCUCAUUUUAAAAUCUUCAGCUUUGUUUGUUUGUUUGGCUGUUCCUGCAGCCUAAGGAAGUUCUCGGGCCAGGAAUAAAAUCCAAGCUGCAGCUGCAACCUAUGCCAUAGCUGCAGCCAAACUGGAUUUUUAAUCCACCACGUCAGGCCCAGGAUCAAACCUGUGCCUCAGCAGUGAUCCAAGCUGCUGCAGUCAAAUCCUUAACCUACUGUGCCACAGCAGGAAUCCCAAAAUCUUCAGUUUUUUUUCUUAAAAUAUAUAUCAAAAUUUCACUCCAAACAUAUUACAGAAGUAUUUGCAUGAGCAUGCAUUUUUACACAUACAAGGAUUUUUAUUGCAGCAGCCUCUAAUAGUGAAAAUUGGAAAUAACAAAAAUAUGCAUGAAAAGGCAACUGGUUUACUGAAGUAUAAACCAGGAACAUCAGAUAGUUAAAAAGUAAUUAGGUAAAUCUACAUGUCUUGGCAUGCACUGUCGAUCAAAAUAUAUUGGCAAGGAGAAAAAAGCAAAGCUUCAGGAAAGAUUAUAUGUUAUCUUAGGUUCAAAUACAAGCAUAUAUGUGUGCAGAUUUAUCCAGUGUAAUCUGAAUAUGCAAAAAAAAAAAAAAAAAAGUCAGNAAUUCUUCAUUAAGGAGAUUUUUGCCAGAUCAGGAUUAAAGAGGUACUUUCACGUUCUGAUUUGUUAUUUUCUCCCUUGUUAGCAUUUUUCACAAAUAUGCACCACUCUUCUAAUCAGUGAGCCAAUAGAGAUAUUAAACUCCAUCUGUGCCUGUGCAGAAAAUGAAAGAGAUGUCCAACUGUACAGAAACGGUGGGCAAACGCAGAGAUUUAGAAAUGUGGGGGAAUAUAAAAUUUUCCUCUCUUUUUAACUGCACUCCAGUCCUAUAAAGAAAGAAAACCCUAGUGAUUUCACAUCCUGCUCAUAGAAGCCGGCAGUUUUAGCAAGGCACAAAGUGCUGAAGGUACUAAAAAUAACCUCCAUACCACACAGCACCCAGCUUUCAUUUAACUCCCUUGGCUAUAAAUAUCUUUAAGAAUAACACCCAUACUCUCGAGAGUACUCCUAAAAGUGAGGCUGGAGAGGAAGUCGCGCUACUUUCUAGGCUGGAAUAUGGCUUUGGCAAAAGAGAGAGCUCUUCUGGGGAAGGAAGAACAGGGUUGUCAUAGCACCCUGACAGGCUUUCCCCAAAAGGCUAAAUUGGGAGAUCACUGUACUCGGGUUAAAAAUAAAGCAGAGACUUUUCUGCAGAAACAGGUGAUGGGAAUUUUGCCUGUUGGUGAGGAUUCUCUCAUCUGGCACAGCAGGCAAAGUUCCUGGUGGGGCCCUUCCCUUUGUGAGCAAGCAAUGCGAGAUCCGCUUCCUUGGGACUGGGCUGCCAUAGACGCAUGUGCUCUUCAUUUGUAAACACGUUCGUAGUUUAUUUAGGAAUGUGCCAAGACACGUCCUCUCACUUCCCCUCAUACUUAGGAACAUCACACACCAAUUACCAACUGUUUGGCUGUAAUUUUUUUUUUUAAUUUCUUUUCUUCCUUUCCUGCGAAUUUUGGACUCAUUCAAUGGAGCUCAGAAGGAAAAAAAAAAAAAGAGACUCCUCAUCCCCAGCACUUAUCUGGUUCUUUUAUUGUGUCUGAGGUCUACAUCACAGUUACAAGAGCAGAAAUAUACCUAAAAUCUCACGUUCUUCCUCAUUUAUUUUGGGGACAGUAUUCCCUUCAAGACACUAGCCCACAUGAAAAAAUGCUAAGAAUGUUUGGAUUGGCUGGAUUUUUCCUUGUAAGCAGUUUUGUUUUGUUUUCUUACUAAAAUGAUAAAUCCUACAGCUUUAUUAUGUUACAAAAGGCCUCCUAGCAGGUUGUGGAUAUAAAGAGGUGGGCAAAACCACACAAACAAACCUAGAGCCAUUUUAUCUGUAAAUUACAUUAUUUAUGAUUUCAGGAAACCAAGGGUGAGAUAAUCCAUGUAUCUUCAUCCUUUCUUCACCAGUAUUUGGGAGAAGAGAAUUAAAAUAAUUAUGUAACUAGAGAGUAAAACUGGAACAGCAUCUUUGUCUUUUCCACCUUAGAAAACUGGCCUUUCUAAUGGUUAAGAUUCCCAUUCACUCACUGGGUCAUUCAUCCAAGCAAUGAGAGCCUGGCCAGCCAGUGCCAGGCUGAGGUUUGAAGCUCUGCAUUCCUCCUUGAUGAUUUUAAUGGGGCUUACGCUGUGGAAGCCAGAAAAUUGUAGAGGUCAUCUGUAGCCCACAUACCCCACAUGAUUCAGCUUGCCCUUAGUAUGGCUUUUUUCUAACACAGAAA
RNAcentral lists this long non-coding RNA (4804 nucleotides) under Sus scrofa (pig). RNAcentral describes it as "lncRNA (ENSSSCG00015012638.1)". Lineage: Eukaryota; Metazoa; Chordata; Mammalia; Artiodactyla; Suidae. The record is from RNAcentral.